UGAAGAAUUAUCUAGACCCCCAAAUG
RNAcentral lists this non-coding RNA (26 nucleotides) under Homo sapiens (human). Lineage: Eukaryota; Metazoa; Chordata; Mammalia; Primates; Hominidae. The record is from RNAcentral.